Molecule: long non-coding RNA, 5408 nt
Organism: Cervus hanglu yarkandensis (Yarkand deer)
Lineage: Eukaryota; Metazoa; Chordata; Mammalia; Artiodactyla; Cervidae
Source: Ensembl
UCGAAGUUAGAGGCGGAGGUGGGGGGGGGAGUUUCUCGGGGGAGGCAAAAAAAAAAGUUUUCUCUCCUCUGCAAAAGGCGGGCAGGGCGCCCUAAGUCCAAGGACAAUCCAUGGAAGUGUUCGCUUCUUCACAAGUUGUGCAAACGAUUUGUUAGUUCAUGAGCCUAAUUAGUGCGGGGAUCACAUAAACAGCUUCCUCCGAAGCCUGGUAAAUGGCUUGAUGAUUGGUCGCUAUUACUCGCCCUGAGGUGGAAGGGGGGAGACUCUUUAAAGUGCGUCAGAGGGAGGCGAGCGCCUGGGAACCCGGAGGCCUGGAUCCGGGCCGAGAGUGGAACGGAGUCGCCGCCGUGGCCGCGGCCGUGCCUCCUGCGCCCGCCGGGCCGCCCGGCCUCUCGGCGCCGUCGCCCCGCGCCCCCAGCUCACUCGCUCCCGCGGCGCCGCGGCGGCUUCUUCUCCUCCUCUUUCGCCUCCUCCUCUUCCUUCGCUUCUCCUCCUCCUCCUCGUCUUCCUCCUUCUUCUCCUCCUCCAGUUCUCCCUCCUCCUCUUUCCCCACCUCCUCCCCCUCGGCCACCGCCUCCUCUCCACCACCAUCACUCCCUCCGGGACACCCUGGUCCCUGCAGAGUCCCCGGUCGGCGCCGCCUCCUCUGCGGCCCCCUAGAUUCCCCAGCCUGCCGAUCCCGGGCUUGGGGGAACAGACGGACACGCGGACACUACAUAUUCCUCGCGCCCAGCGCUUCCGCUCUGCUGCCCUCCGCAGCCCCGCGUCUGGGGAGCUGGAAUCGCCCCGGGAGCCUUCGAGGAUGAAGAAACUCAGCGCCAGGGAGAGGGGGUGCUUUCCUGCGGUUGUCGCUUGGUCGAGCUUGAUGCUAUUGGACAGAGAAGCAAAUGAAGGUAAACCUGUGCCGUUUCUAGGGGCUUGAGGCUUUCUCAUCUCAGACCCUCUCCACCCUUCUCAGUGGCUCACAGGAAAAGAGAUCGGGACCCCACUCCCAGUAGGACCAGUGAGGUGAGUUGGGGAGACCCCAGCUUGGCUGUCAGUACCACAAACCCAGUCCAGAACUGUUUCUGGCUGCCAGGGUCAAGUGCUGGACUCAGCACUUGAGAAAAGAGUUCAUGCUGGCUGGACACCCGGGGGUCAUAGAGGUUCUUAACCUGUGACCUAGGCCCCGUGUCUUUGCAGGAGCCAGCGAACAGAAGGCACAGCUCAGGUGUGAAAGAGAUGCAGUUGAGACGGCCCUUCUCCCCCAGAAUCCCUGCCAGAUGUCAGGGGUGCAGGCCCUGGACCGCAGCCCCCCACCCCACCCAGAGAAGACCCAGCCUUCCCAAUGCUUGACUUGAGCCUGGAGCAGCCCAGAGGCCAAUCCUGCAGGCAUAAAGAUCAUCAAGGAUUGUUCCUAAAGUCUGGAAUCAAAGGAGCUGAUGGAAGCUGGGUCCUGUGCCCCCGGGGUACACCCAGCUCUUCCGGGAAUGCCAGCCCCACCCCUUUCGCUGCCCCCACUCACCAUCUCCCGGCCUCGCCCUCCCCCUUUCCUUCUCUUUCUCUCACUCACUUCUUUUCUUCUUAAAGUUAAUUGCAACUUUUUUCUCAGCGCCCUGAUCUGGAUAAGCCACAUCUCAUUAGAAAAAGAUUUAGCUGGAGCCAAAUCAGGCUGGAGAAGGAAUCCCUAAUCAACAGAGAAAAGAUUCGGGUGUAAUUGCUCUCUCCCGCCAUCCUCCCCCUCCCUCCUCCAAUCUUUCUCUGCUCAUUAAUCUGAAAAGAAAGUCGCAGUUGAACGUCUUGGUGUUCAAGUACCUGCUGCUGUGGCAAACAAAUCGAAGUACUUGGGGUUUUCUUUUGUGGGGGUGUCUAUGUGGACAGCUUCGGCUGUUGUGUGGAGGAGUAAAGCAUUUUGCUCUUGGGGGUGUGUAAGAAGCACCUUGGUUGGGGGAGUAAAACUCUGGGGGGGAGAUGUGUGUGUGUGAAGUGCUUGGUUGUGGGGAAAGUGUGAGUGGGUGUGUGAACCCUUUGGUUGUUAGAGUGUGUGUGUGUGAAGCUCUUUGGUAUGAAGUGCUUUGAUUAUUGAGAGGGUGUGUGAAGCUCUUUGAUUACUGAGAAUGUGUGUGUGUGGUGGGGGGAAGCCCUUUGGUUGGAUGGGGCAGUAAAAGCUCUCAGCGUGUGUGUAAAGCAUGUCGGUUGUUGGGUACAUGUGUUGUGGAUGUGGGAUAUGGUUGCGGGGUAUGGGAGGCAACUCCCCAGUUGUUGGUCCGUGGGGAUGCAGUGGAGGCCUUCAGUUGUUGGUGUGUGGUGCUUUGAUUGUUGGAUGCAUGUGAGUUCAUUCACAUGCCCCUUUGAUGGUUUCCUUUCGCCCCAACUAAAUCCCAACGGAUGCUUAAAUGGUGACACACAGAAGAUGAAUUUAGAAGCAAACCAUCUCCCCAUGUAGGGAGAAGAGGUGGGUCCCUACUCGCCCCAGAACCUCUGGAAAGCCCAGGCCCCUGUGUCUCAGCUACCUUACCUACGAUCCCCACUCUGCCUCAGUCCAACUCUUUUUGUGACCCCAUGGACUGUAGCCUGCCAGACUGCUCUGUCCAUGAGAUUUCCCAGGCAAGAAUACUAGCGUGAGCUGCCAGUCCCUUCUCCAGGGGAUCUUCUGGACCUAGGACUUGAACUUGCAUCUCCUGCUUGGCAGACAGAUUCUUAAAUGAAACAAAUUAUGGAAAUUAAUAAUGAUGUGUGCAUGUCAAGUGCUUUGACACUCCUGUUUUCUUUACUUCAUUUCAUGCGGCUACUGUAAAAAAUUUUAAUUACAAUGUGGCUUGCACUUGUGGCUCGUGUUAUAUUUACAUUAUAUAACACUGGCCUAGAAUAUAACACACCCUUUCACGAAUACUGGUAUUCUCCUUUAACCAACGAGCAAACCAGCUCAGGUUGAGUGGCUCUGGCCAAAGACACCAGCUGCAAAAGCCAGAAUUCGUGAGUGAUCCUGGCUGGACAGUCUGCUACUUGAUGAAACUCCUAAAACAAGAGCUAUAUUGUUGUGACACAAUCUUACACAGAGUGUUUAGUGCCAGCAGGACUGAAGCACAUUUGGAGUCUGGGGGAAAUUAAAUAAAGCCUGUGACUCGGGGAUGAAGAGGUUUUCCUGACACUAGUCAAGAAUGUUAAGGUGCAGGGUAGUUCUCAGUGAGUAGUGCUUGGGCAGGCUUCCGAGAUCCCUGCGUGAACUUGGGUCAGUCCCUUCCCCACUCUGGUCCUCACUUCUUCCGUCUGAAGAGAAGGGGCUGGAUUAAAUGUUCUCUGAGAUCCAUCGGGGUCUCUGGUGCCUCUCAGCAGAUUCCCAUCCUCCCAGGGAUUAAGGGUGAGCGUGUGAGCAACGUGCUGGGUCCUGGGGCAAAUAGCACGUCUCUUGUGUCACCUGUGAGAUACAGAGAACAGUGUGUACUUGGAAGUGAUGCUCUAAGGAUUAAUGAGAAAAUGCAGGUGAUGCACGCAGCACAUGCAGGGCACACAGGAAACAUAAAUGCUAGCUCUUGUUAUCAGUAUAGCAGUAAGCAGGUUGACCAGCUGGCUGGAAUAGUUCUGGGUCAGUAGACUCAGAUUUGUAAGCAGUAUCUAUCUUGGGUCCUCCCCCUAAGCUGUCACAUUCUGAGGCUGAAUUGAUCCAAGGAUCACCUUGAACUUGGCUUUUGAAGGGUUUGUUACCACUACAAUUCAGUUCCCUGAUUGCACGGGUAACAGAAGCACCCAGGAAGAGCACAGAUUGGCAGGGGUCCAGAGGAUGUUGGAGCAGAGGGAGACUCAGGUUCUUGUAAGAGGGCAUCUUCGGGAAUUUCAGAGGAGGAAGUGUUAGUGUCAUUUCUGUCCUUUGGUGGUAUAGCAGUCACAUGUCACUUUUCCAUCCUUUGGAGGACUGAUGCAGAUCCAUGACCAUAAGCUUUCUUCACUGCUUUUUUUUUUUUCCCCACCGUGGGAAGACUCUGACUUCAGUUCUUCUCAACAGCUGUUUUCAUUUUUUCAUCCCUGAAUUGUGUGUAAACAACCUCCGAUAGUAGAUAAAGGCUUUAUCAGCUCAGCAGCUCACCUCCUACAUACAGCCUCUUCUUCAUGAAUACAAGUCUGUGUUAGGAGUAAGUUGGACUUGAUUUUGUCUGCCGGUUGUUAUCCUGGGCUUAAUUGGGAGGAAUCUUGCGUUCAGUAUGUAGGCUCCCAGCUCUCUCUAAUGUUCCUCGGCCGCCAUCUGCUGGGUAAUCCUGGCAUGACAUAGUCCCCUCGGCUGGCGGGCUAAGGAAUGGAGUGUCUUGCAUUCAAUAACAAAAUAUACAGCAGGAACUGUGUACCAGGCAUAGUUCCAGGCACUUGGGAUUCAUUAGUGAACAAACAGACAAAUAUCUUUUCUUUUUAGCACUGAAAAUAUUCAACUAUCUGGAAUAUUGGGUGGAUUUUUGUUGUUCAGUCACAAGUCGUGUCUGGAAUGUUAUUUAUUCACUUACCUACUGAAGUGUAUCGUGGUUGUUUCCAAGUUUUAGCAAUCAUGAAUAAAACUGCUAUAAAUAUUUCUGGGCAAGUCCUUCUGUGUACAUUGUCAGUGUUUUGGAUUUGGGCCAUUUCUAUAGGUAUGUAGUAGCAUCUCAUUGUUUUAAUUUGCAUUUCUGAGGUAGUAUAUGAUGUGAAAUGUGGUCUCAUACAUUUUUUGCCAUUUGUGUGUCUUCUUUGCUGAGAUCUGUUCAGAUCUUUUGCCAAUUUUUAAAUCAGAUUGGUUGUUUUCUUAUUGUUGAGUGUUAAAGAGUUCUUUGUAUAUUUAAGAUAAUAGUCUUUUAUCAAAUGCGUUUUUUGCAAAUAUUUUCUCCUCCUUCUCUUGACACUACCUUAUCAAGCAGAAGCUUUUAAUUUCAAUGAAGUCAAGCUUAUCAAUUACUUCUUCAUGGAUGGUGCCUUUGGUAUUGUAUUUUAAAAAGUCAUUUGCCACAUCCAAGGUCACCUGGGUUUUCUCCUAUGUUGAUUUGCUCUUUUUCUAGUUUUAUAGUAUGGAAGCUUAAACGAUUGAUUUUUUAUAUUUCUUCUUUUCUAAUACAUAUAUUCAGUGUUACAAAUUUCCCUCUAAGCACUCUUUUCACUGCAUCCCACAAAUUUUGAUAAAUUGCAUUUUCAUUUCAUUAAAAUAUAUUUUAAAAUUUCUCUUAAGAUUUCUUAUUUGACUCAUGUUAUUUACAAGUGUAUUGUUUCACCUCCAAGUGUUUGGGGAUUUUCUGGCUUUCUGUCUGUUGUUAAUUUCUAGUUUAACUCCACUGUUGUCUGAAAGCUGAUGUUGCAUGAUUUCCUUUUCCUUUAAAUUUGUUAAAGUGUGUUUUAUGUCCCAGGAUGUGGUCUAUCGUGGUGAAUGCUCCAUGUGAGCUUGAGAAAAAUGUAUAUUCUGCUGUUGCUGGAUG